GAAUUCCCCAAUCGGACUCUCCUCUUCUUGCCGGAUCUCCCCACCCCAUUCCACCCCGCCCAUGGGUGCCCCCACCCCUCGCCGCUGACCUGUGGGUACACUGCCCCCUGCUCCCCCGCCCCGCUCCCGCUCGCCCACGCGAACCCUAGGCAGCUAGGCUUUGCUGCUAGAAGAGCUCCAGCGACCGACGAGGAGAGGAGAAUAAAGCUCAAAUCUUGGAUGCGCCCGAACCGAUGGCGACACCUGCCGCAGAGAAGCCGGAAGAUGUAGAGAUCCGUGAGGUUUGGGCGGACAACCUCGAGACAGAGUUCGCCGUGAUCCGCGACAUCGUCGACGACUAUCCGUAUGUGGCUAUGGACACUGAGUUUCCGGGCGUUGUGUGUCGUCCGCUCGGCACUUACAAGUCGGCGGCCGAGUUCAACUACGCCACUCUUAAAGCUAACGUGGACAUGCUGAAGCUUAUUCAGCUCGGGCUCACCUUGUCCGACGAGCAUGGUGGGCUGCCGGCGCUAGGCCCAGACGGUCGUCCCUGCGUCUGGCAGUUCAACUUUCGAGGAUUUGACCCUCGGACUGAUGUGGCUGCAGCGGACUCCAUCGAUCUUCUACGCCGUAGUGGUAUUGACUUCUCUCGCCAUGCUGCUGAUGGAGUCGACUCUCGCUGCUUUGCUGAACUGCUCAUGUCCUCCGGCGUAGUAUUGAAUUCAGAUGUGCAUUGGGUGACUUUUCAUAGCGGCUACGACUUUGGCUACCUGCUCAAGCUACUCACUGGCACAAAUCUCCCUGAUACGCUGCCAGGAUUCUUCGAUCUCAUCAAGAUUUACUUUCCUGUUAUCUACGAUAUAAAACACUUGAUGAGGUUCUCCAAUAGCCUCCAUGGAGGGCUGAACAAGCUUGCUGAGCUGCUUGAUGUUGCAAGGGUUGGAAUCUGCCACCAGGCAGGGUCUGAUUCGCUUCUGACAGCACUGUCUUUCAAGAAGCUUAAAGAGGCAUACUUCAACGGAUUAACUGAGAAAUAUGCUGGUGUGUUGUAUGGGCUUGGCUUUGAGGGUGUAGAGACCACCUCUGCUCACUGAGUAAUGGAUAAUUAAAUAAAAGAUGAACUAUUUAUGAAAAUGGAGAAAUCUGUUUGGUGUCUUUGUCUGACAAUUUCCUGUUGCUUGCGCUGGUGAAGAUUGUGGCUUGAUGGAAUGUGCUGUUGAAGUUUCUUUGAGGCCUGUAUUGAUACACUGAUCACCAAGUCACCAACUGAAGACUCAAACAUUAUCGAACUCUGUAAUGCUAUGGUAAUCAAGUACUCUACAACAAGUCAUCAACUGCUGUGCUAAAUGUUAUUUGGUAGCAAAAAGAACACUUAACUUGCCCUUUGAUAUGUGAAACUGAAACCCCUCAGUUCUUGUUUUACAUGGUUUCUGGUGCUACCCCUUGAAUAGUUGAUGAUUUUAGGCACUAUUCUGAUUUCUAUACCAACCUAUAAAAGCAAGACAAUAUGCUGGACUUCUGAUUGUAAUAUGUUAUAGUGUCUAUGUAGUUUUGUAGUUCCUUAAACUCAAGCAACAUAUGCCAUUAUCAGUUUUGC
Molecule: RNA transcript, 1576 nt
Organism: Zea mays
Lineage: Eukaryota; Viridiplantae; Streptophyta; Magnoliopsida; Poales; Poaceae
Gene name: CCR4-NOT transcription complex subunit 7
Exons: 2
Source: RefSeq, marked validated